CUAUAGACCAAGUGCUCGAAAAAAUCCUCCAUUUCCUCUUCCUCGCUCCCGUUGUCCGGCGAGGACGGUCUUGUUCCUCGGCGUUGACGUCGACGUCGACGGCGAGCUCUCCUCCGAUCUGCUGGAAUUUUUUCAUAUUUCGUUUCCCUAUUGAUCCAGGGAGACAAAUCUUAACAGGGAGAGGUAUAAUGAUGCAACAGGGCAAGAGCAAGAAAGGUGAAAUGGAAAAGAGAUGAGAAUUUGAUUGGAAUCCACUGGAUUUGGAAGAACAAUUCAAAGUUUUUGUGCAUGGAGGAUUCAAAUCCUACCAUGUAAUUGCCUAGAAAUGGCAAUGGUGCAGCUUGAGCAAGAGCAAGAAAUGGGCGUUCAGAUCAAUCCAACAUUGAUGGUCAUGCAGCUCUAAGGGACAUAUAACUGAAAUUAGACCCAGUGUGCAACAAAACAGCAUGAGGUUUUGAAAAUUGCGGAGUUGUUUGAUUGAUUUUUUUUUCCUUUGAUCCUUCUUCACUGUAAUGACAAGUUGUUCAGCCUUUGAAUGCGAGUCUGUCUUCAAUUAUUUUAUUUGGAUUAAUUGAAAUCCAUACAAAUCGAACUAUUAAAGAAAAGAAAAUGGAUUGCUAUUUAUUUGCAAAACUGCAA
This is a long non-coding RNA of Dioscorea cayenensis subsp. rotundata (Guinea yam), 639 nucleotides long. RefSeq lists it as uncharacterized. NCBI's taxonomy places the organism in Eukaryota, Viridiplantae, Streptophyta, Magnoliopsida, Dioscoreales, Dioscoreaceae. The transcript is spliced from 4 exons. The record is from RefSeq and is a predicted model, not a curated record.